This 614-nucleotide long non-coding RNA is filed under the name Lupinus mutabilis. RNAcentral describes it as "partial ncRNA". Lineage: Eukaryota; Viridiplantae; Streptophyta; Magnoliopsida; Fabales; Fabaceae. The record is from RNAcentral.
UUCCAUGUUUUUCUCCUUUUACUUUGUUCACAAGUUGUUCAAUUUUUUCACCCUCAUCUUUAACAUCUUCAGUUUCCUCCAUCUUAUUCCCACUCUUUUGCUUGACUAACUCUUCUUUUACUUUUGUUUCUUUUAUCUUUGUGUCUUCUAGUCCAUCUCUUUUAUUAGGUACUGAAUUAACUAUUUUCAUAGGAAACUCUUCUUUUGCAGCAUUGCUUGCUUCAACUCUUCCUUUACUCAUAUCUUCUCGGAAACAUUGUUGAUCUUUUUCAUUUAUUCGAAUCUUAGGAUUCUCGAUAUCUUUCCGAGUUGUCUCUCGUAUCAUGUCUUUACUGAAACCACCAUUUGCUUCCACCAGUAUCUUUUCAAUUUUCUCUCCAUUUACAUUCUUCACAGACUGUUCAAUUUCUGUAUUCUCUUCUUUGACAUCUUCAGUUUCCAGCAUGCCCGAAAACUUUUGUCUUUUGCUUCCAUCAAACCCUGCAUCUCUUUUCAAUUUCACUAUACCAUAUUCAUUUUUGUCUUUCUUAUCUCCGGCCGUUGCCUCCACAAUCUGCUUAGGAAGCUUUUCUUGUGCCCUCCCCAAUACUUCAAAAGGUUCUUUGAUAAUAUUG